Molecule: ribosomal RNA, 330 nt
Filed under: Triticum aestivum (bread wheat)
Lineage: Eukaryota; Viridiplantae; Streptophyta; Magnoliopsida; Poales; Poaceae
Description: partial small subunit ribosomal RNA
Source: RNAcentral
AUGGCGGGGGCUGGCGGCGGCGAGGAGCAGGACCUUGGGAGGCGCCAUGGCGAGCAGGCAAGUGCUAGCAGCACCACAGUCGAGGUCAAAGAUUCCCCGUGCACCGGCGAGACGGGCGCGAGCUCUGGCGCCGGCCACAUCGCGGCGCAACUUAUCGGGGCGCUAAGGAGGAGCCAGGAGGAGCUCGCGACGAUGGGCAAGGCCGACGUGCUUGCGUACGAGGAUCGUCUGCGGGCUCUCAGGCUUCGCGUGCUCCAGAAGAUCCAGGAGGAGGAGGCGAAGGCGGCAGCGGCGGAACAGCCCACGACGGAGCCACGCCGUGCUGGUUGA